AUGACCAUUAUGAUUCCUUAUAUACAACAGAGAAUGGACUGCAUCAGACCAAACUUACUAAGUCUCCCAUGCUCUGCAACAGGAAUUAGCAAUACUGUACGUGGUCUGUCAGAUAUUGUUGCACUGCAAUUCCCACCAUCCAUAGGUAAUACAGUUAAUGAUGAAGAAAGACUGGGCAGCUUGGAGGACAUAUCUCAACACCACCUGAUGAGCAAGCCAUUGUCCACCGUUUCUUUGGACCGUUUAUGGAUCUCUCUGCUUCUUGGAGUAGAUGAAUAUCACCAGGCAAUCCAUAUUUAACUCCUAGGAAAUGAUGGGAUCUUCAGCAUGAUCCUUGAAAUCACCAGUGACAUCAAUAAAGAACUGAGAAGAAAGAAAAAAACA
RNAcentral lists this long non-coding RNA (384 nucleotides) under Pogona vitticeps (central bearded dragon). RNAcentral describes it as "lncRNA (ENSPVIG00000025621.1)". Lineage: Eukaryota; Metazoa; Chordata; Lepidosauria; Squamata; Agamidae. The record is from RNAcentral.